Molecule: transfer RNA, 98 nt
Filed under: Vibrio parahaemolyticus
Lineage: Bacteria; Pseudomonadati; Pseudomonadota; Gammaproteobacteria; Vibrionales; Vibrionaceae
Description: tRNA-Thr
Rfam family: tRNA
About the family: Transfer RNA (tRNA) molecules are approximately 80 nucleotides in length.
Source: RNAcentral
GAGUAUGUAGGUUAGUUGGUAAACCGCCUCAAUCGUAAAGGAAUUUUAAGAGUUUCUUUACGCUUGAGGAAUCCUCAGUUCGACCCUGAGCUUAUUCA